This 495-nucleotide ribosomal RNA is filed under the name uncultured bacterium. RNAcentral's name for it is "bacterial SSU rRNA". It matches the Rfam family "Bacterial small subunit ribosomal RNA", at positions 903 to 1397 of the family's 1533-position model. The record is from RNAcentral.
AAAGGAAUUGACGGGGGCCCGCACAAGCAGCGGAGCAUGUGGUUUAAUUCGAAGCAACGCGAAGAACCUUACCAAGGCUUGACAUCCCGGUGACGAGUGUAGAGAUACAUUUUUUCUUCGGAACACCGGUGACAGGUGGUGCAUGGUUGUCGUCAGCUCGUGUCGUGAGAUGUUGGGUUAAGUCCCGCAACGAGCGCAACCCUUAUCAUUAGUUGCCAGCAUGUAAAGAUGGGAACUCUAAUGAGACUGCCGUGGAUAACACGGAGGAAGGUGGGGACGAUGUCAAAUCAUCAUGCCCUUUAUGUCUUGGGCUACACACGUGCUACAAUGGUCGGUACAAAGGGCAGCGAAGCGGUAACGCCAAGCGAAUCUCAAAAAGCCGAUCCCAGUUCGGAUUGUGGGCUGCAACCCGCCCACAUGAAGUCGGAGUUGCUAGUAAUCGCGGAUCAGCAUGCCGCGGUGAAUGCGUUCCCGGGCCUUGUACACACCGCCCGU